RNAcentral lists this ribosomal RNA (559 nucleotides) under uncultured bacterium. Its description in RNAcentral is "bacterial SSU rRNA". It matches the Rfam family "Bacterial small subunit ribosomal RNA", at positions 353 to 914 of the family's 1533-position model. The record is from RNAcentral.
AGUAGGGAAUAUUGGACAAUGGUUGAGAGACUGAUCCAGCCAUGCCGCGUGCAGGAAGAAGGCCUUCUGGGUCGUAAACUGCUUUUCCCCGGGGAUAAAAAGGCCAUGCGUGGCAGAUUGAAGGUACCGGGGGAAUAAGCCACGGCUAACUACGUGCCAGCAGCCGCGGUAAUACGUAGGUGGCAAGCGUUGUCCGGAUUUAUUGGGUUUAAAGGGUGCGUAGGCGGCCCUGUAAGUCAGUGGUGAAAUACGGCAGCUCAACUGUCGAGGUGCCAUUGAUACUGCGGGGCUUGAGUACCGGUGAGGCAGGCGGAAUUGACGGUGUAGCGGUGAAAUGCUUAGAUAUCGUCAAGAACACCGAUAGCGAAGGCAGCUUGCUAAUGGGUAACUGACGCUCAGGCACGAAAGUGCGGGGAUCAAACAGGAUUAGAUACCCUGGUAGUCCGCACAGUAAACGAUGAUCACUCGGUGUUGGCGAUAUACGGCCAGCGCCUUAGCGAAAGCGAUAAGUGAUCCACCUGGGGAGUACGCCCGCAAGGGUGAAACUCAAGGAAUUGAC